Molecule: long non-coding RNA, 522 nt
Filed under: Coccomyxa subellipsoidea
Lineage: Eukaryota; Viridiplantae; Chlorophyta; Trebouxiophyceae; Coccomyxaceae
Description: long non-coding RNA (CSUB_LNC000236)
Source: RNAcentral
UGACUGGCAAGAGCAAACGUGUCAUGAUCCAGGAAUCCAACAAUUUUCAAGACAGCCUCUGGGGGCAGCUGGGGCAGUGGAGUCUUGGUGCACUUUGGAACCUGCGAAGACAUUGACUCUUGCUAUGAGGGUGCAAUCUUCCUCACAUCUGUCCAUCAAGGUAUGAACUCAAAUCACAUAGGUACAGCACCUUCACAUCCAAAUAGAGUACAGCGUUCACCAAGUCCUUAAAGAAGUGCUUCAUACCGUACAGGCUCCCUGCCUGUACACGCAUGUCCUCUUCGAUUAUACUUCUGAGGUCUUUCAACGUAAGUUGGUCUGCAUUAUCGAUGAUGUAACGACUUCGCUUUGCGACUGCCUGUUCUUAGCGGUUCCUGAGGUCCUCGGUAUCAUCCAUGGAAGAUGACAUUCGAAUACACGAUCUUCGUGAGGUCACUGCCAAAGCACACAAGUGAUCGCCAACUCCUUAGAAUCAGACAAUUUCUUUUUAGAGGUUUCAAUUCCAAUCAUUGCAUAUUCUUU